This 410-nucleotide ribosomal RNA is filed under the name uncultured Methylomirabilota bacterium. RNAcentral describes it as "bacterial SSU rRNA". It matches the Rfam family "Bacterial small subunit ribosomal RNA", at positions 1025 to 1434 of the family's 1533-position model. Lineage: Bacteria; Methylomirabilota (SeqCode). The record is from RNAcentral.
AACGUGGAGACAGGUGGUGCAUGGCUGUCGUCAGCUCGUGUCGUGAGAUGUUGGGUUAAGUCCCGCAACGAGCGCAACCCUCACCCCUUGUUGCUACCAGGUAAAGCUGGGCACUCUAGGGGAACUGCCCCGGUCAACGGGGAGGAAGGCGGGGAUGACGUCAAGUCCUCAUGGCCCUUAUGUCUUGGGCUACACACGUGCUACAAUGGCCGGUACAAAGGGAUGCAACACCGCGAGGUAGAGCUAAACCCAAAAAGCCGGUCUAAGUUCAGAUUGGAGUCUGCAACUCGACUCCAUGAAGGAGGAAUCGCUAGUAAUCGCGUAUCAGCACGACGCGGUGAAUACGUUCCCGGGCCUUGUACACACCGCCCGUCACACCACGAAAGCCAGCUGUACUCGAAGUCGCUGAG